This is a long non-coding RNA of Sinocyclocheilus rhinocerous, 105 nucleotides long. RefSeq lists it as uncharacterized. The transcript has 3 exons. Lineage: Eukaryota; Metazoa; Chordata; Actinopteri; Cypriniformes; Cyprinidae. The record is from RefSeq and is a predicted model, not a curated record.
CUCCCUUUGAGAUCCAAGGAAGAUAUAAAAAACAUAGCAGUUUGGAAUGAAAUAAGGGAGAAGAAUCUGAAAAGCGGAAAAUAAAGGCCUCCUGUAACAAAAACA